This 629-nucleotide ribosomal RNA is filed under the name uncultured bacterium. Its description in RNAcentral is "bacterial SSU rRNA". The stretch from base 1 to 543 matches the Rfam family "Bacterial small subunit ribosomal RNA", at positions 338 to 873 of the family's 1533-position model. The record is from RNAcentral.
CCUACGGGAGGCAGCAGUAGGGAAUCUUCCACAAUGGACGAAAGUCUGAUGGAGCAACGCCGCGUGAGUGAUGAAGGUUUUCGGAUCGUAAAACUCUGUUGUAAGGGAAGAACAAGUACGAGAGGGAAUGCUCGUACCUUGACGGUACCUUGCGAGAAAGCCACGGCUAACUACGUGCCAGCAGCCGCGGUAAUACGUAGGUGGCAAGCGUUGUCCGGAAUUAUUGGGCGUAAAGCGCGCGCAGGCGGCCUUUUAAGUCUGAUGUGAAAGCCCCCGGCUCAACCGGGGAGGGUCAUUGGAAACUGGAAGGCUUGAGUACAGAAGAGAAGAGUGGAAUUCCAUGUGUAGCGGUGAAAUGCGUAGAGAUGUGGAGGAACACCAGUGGCGAAGGCGACUCUUGGUCUGUAACUGACGCUGAGGCGCGAAAGCGUGGGGAGCAAACAGGAUUAGAUACCCUGGUAGUCCACGCCGUAAACGAUGAGUGCUAGGUGUUGGGGGGUUUCCGCCCGUCAGUGCUGAAGCUAACGCAUUAAGCACUCCGCCUGGGGGAGGACGGCCGCGAGCGUUGAACGUACAAUUAGAAGUUAGACGGCGUGAGACGNGCCGACGGACGACGACGAGGGAGGAGG